Long non-coding RNA from Frankliniella occidentalis (western flower thrips), 1294 nucleotides. RefSeq lists it as uncharacterized. Lineage: Eukaryota; Metazoa; Arthropoda; Insecta; Thysanoptera; Thripidae. The record is from RefSeq and is a predicted model, not a curated record. The transcript is spliced from 2 exons.
AAUGAGCGGUGUAAGUUGUUGAACUUAUCAUAUGGUUUUGUGUUAAAUAAACCAGGUUGUAUGCAUGAAUUCAAAGGUACACUGUACCAUUAAUUAAUUAAUAACUCAUGAUUUUCUUCUCAUUUUGUUUCAUGUUGUGGAUGCACAUUUGAGAAAACUUCAGUAACAUACUGGUGUUGGGCCAUGCUAGAAACAAAUCAUCCUCUUGAACCAAUUCUCUGGUGUCAGGUUUAUCAGGGUCGCACCGUUGACUUUUACUCCUGUUUGUAAAUUUAAUUGUCUUCAAGAGGCCAAUUUUCAUGUAUCAGCAUUUUUCAUUCAUUCAUUUAAACUUGGUGUUGUCCACUUCAAUUCAUGUGAAGCUUGUAUUGGCUCUGUUAAAAUUUAAAGUAAGUGUAUUUACAGCAAAUUUGUUUCAAUAUGACUUUGGGGAAGUCUCAGAAACUAUUUGAUACCUCUCCGUUGUUCUUUAAUGCUUAAUUCUGAAGAGAAUUUGUACUACAGUGUUCAUGAGCUGACCAAGCAUAGACUCUAAAGGAUAAAGCUCAGAAAGGACUCCAACUUUCUAUUGAAGACAAACUGGAUAAAAUCAUCCUCGCCCUUAACUUGAAAAAUAAUUUCUAUUGGAUUUGGGUCACCAUCACCAUAAAAUAUGUAAAUCGCUGCCUGUAAACGUCGUUAUGAUGAAACUCAUAAUCCCAAGGCUGUCACUUCUGGUGUUAGUUGGUGGCUCCGCAGCAGGCCCCAAAAAAAGGACAAUUAAUCUUACCGUAAGGUAAGAUUCAUAAGUUCGUUGCAUGUCGCUUUUGUUUUUUUUUCUUUUUGUAUUUAAAACAAAAAAAAUUGUUGCUUUUCUGUUGUAAACUAAAUAAUUUCACGUUUCUGUUUUCUUCAAAGUUGUGCCGUUCUGUUGGAUGAAAGACAGUUGUCCUUUUUUUGUUUUUGUAUUACCUUGCUUGUUCAUCUUGCUUGUUUAUCUUGCUUGUACUGCCGCUUAGUCUGGUAUUGACUUGCUUUGCUUUAUGAUGUUGCUUUGUAUCGUACACUUGCACUUUUUUGUUUGUUUGUUAAAACAUAACAAAACAUAAGAGUUUUGCUUUUCUAUUAAAAUUUUGUAAUUGCUUGUACUGCUGCCUUGCUUUGAUUUGGUAUGCAGGUGCUUAGUAUACUUUAAUUUUUUGGUUCCUGUGGAUUAAUUAUCAUGUUAUUUCGAUUGAAUUAUAUUUUGUUGGAGACUUAAUUGUUUUCUUCUACAGGUUUUUCUUUAAUAAAUUAAACUGAUGACAAUUAUGUA